AGCAGCCGCGGUAAUUCCAGCUCCAAUAGCGUAUAUUAAAGUUGUUGCAGUUAAAAAGCUCGUAGUUGAAUUUCGGGAUCAGUUGAUCGGUCGUGCCUCGGUACGUACUGGUCAAAUUGAUUCCUACCUUCUGACGAACCACGAUGUCAUUAAUUUGGUGUCGCGGGAAAUCAGGACUGUUACUUUGAAAAAUUAGAGUGUUUAAAGCAGGCUCGCGCUUGAAUACAUUAGCAUGGAAUAAUGAAAUAGGACGUUUGAUUCUAUUUUGUUGGUUUUCUAGGAUCGACGUAAUGAUUAAUAGGGAUAGUUGGGGGCAUUAGUAUUCAAUUGUCAGAGGUGAAAUUCUUGGAUUUUAUUGAAGACUAACUACUGCGAAAGCAUUUGCCAAGGAUGUUUUCAUUAAUCAAGAACGAAAGUUAGGGGGAUCGAAGACGAUCAGAUACCGUCGUAGUCUUAACCAUAAACUAUGCCGACUAGGGAUCGGAUGAUGUUAAUUUUUAAUGUACUCAUUCGGCGCCUU
Molecule: unclassified non-coding RNA, 520 nt
Filed under: uncultured Glomus
Lineage: Eukaryota; Fungi; Glomeromycota; Glomeromycetes; Glomerales; Glomeraceae
Description: SSU rRNA
Rfam family: Eukaryotic small subunit ribosomal RNA
Source: RNAcentral